GCAGUUAUCAUCAUAAUUAUAUUUGUAAUUCCAAGGGUGCAUUACCAUACUAAUGGAUGAUGACCACUCAACAGUCACAAGAAACAUUAAUUAAAACAGAAGUUCUCCCGUCCUAGCAGGGAGAGUGUUCCCUAAUCCCCAUUAUGGAAAUUGGUUAAGCCAAGAGAAUAUUUCCUUUAUAGUUUCAGCUCUUCAGAAAGCCUUUGAUGUCCUAAGCCAAAGCAACUACCCAUCAGGAACUGAGAGAUGUACUUCGGUCCCCCAUGCCAGCUUUUUACUUACUUCUGUCAUUUAAUUUCCCCCAUAAUACGGGGUAAAGUCUUAGCCARCAUCUUCAUUUUCAUUCAUUAGUGAAAUCAUCAUCAUAGUAAUACUUUGCACUUAUCUCUAUCCUAGGCACUUUGAAGGUGUCUGUCACUGUGUUAUGUAUACAUAAAGAACCCUCCAUCCAAAAAUGACCGAUCAGUAAAGUUUCCGAAUAUUGAAAAGGUCAAAGCACUACAGGACUCUGUUAUUAUCACUUAGAAAUAUAUGAGGCAUAAAAAUCAUAAUAGUGGGAAAGGUGUAAAAUGUGGCUGGCUCCCUCGAUAACGCCGGGGCUGUCGGUGUGAGCUCGGCUUUCCAUCCCUGCCCCAGGCUUCGCAGGCUCUCCUCGCUUUCUUUUGUUUUUCUUUCUUUUUUUUUUUUUUUUAGCUUAAGUAAGAGGUCAUUCUGUGUCGUACCAGAAGGUGCUUUGUUCAUCCAUUAUGGGGCCGUCCUUCACAGCUUUAAUCUGCAUAGAGAACAUCACCCAAUCCUUCCAUUCUCUCUACACGUAAUUUGACAUUGCUCAACUCCACCUGUUCCCUGUCGAGGAAAUGCAGGUUCAGCCAGCCGGAAGACGAAGGACCAGGUACUGUGACUUGCUUCCCUUCUGUCUGUUCCCUUUGCUUUUCCACUGAAUGGGGAGAAAA
Molecule: long non-coding RNA, 953 nt
Filed under: Dromaius novaehollandiae (emu)
Lineage: Eukaryota; Metazoa; Chordata; Aves; Casuariiformes; Dromaiidae
Description: lncRNA (ENSDNVG00000000249.1)
Source: RNAcentral